GAUGAACGCUGGCGGCGUGCCUAAUACAUGCAAGUCGAGCGAACAGAUGAGGAGCUUGCUCCUCUGACGUUAGCGGCGGACGGGUGAGUAACACGUGGAUAACCUACCUAUAAGACUGGGAUAACUUCGGGAAACCGGAGCUAAUACCGGAUAAUAUAUUGAACCGCAUGGUUCAAUAGUGAAAGACGGUUUUGCUGUCACUUAUAGAUGGAUCCGCGCCGCAUUAGCUAGUUGGUAAGGUAACGGCUUACCAAGGCAACGAUGCGUAGCCGACCUGAGAGGGGGCACGGCCACACUGGAAUGGACACCCGGUCCCGUCCCCAGGGGGGGGCAAGAGGAGGGAAUCUUCCGAAAGGGGGAAAACCCUGGAGGACCACCCCCGGGGGAGGUAUAAAGUUUUUCGGUCUGUAAAACUCUGUUUUUAGGGAAAAACAAAUUGGAAAAAAAAUAUCCCGGUUGUGACGGUCCCAAAUCAAAAACCCCCGGCUAACUACG
This 495-nucleotide ribosomal RNA is filed under the name uncultured bacterium. RNAcentral's name for it is "partial 16S ribosomal RNA". It matches the Rfam family "Bacterial small subunit ribosomal RNA", at positions 28 to 505 of the family's 1533-position model. The record is from RNAcentral.